UACGUAGGGGGCAAGCGUUGUCCGGAAUCAUUGGGCGUAAAGAGCGUGUAGGCGGCUCGGUAAGUCCGCUGUGAAAGUCCAGGGCUCAACCCUGGAAUGCCGGUGGAUACUGUCGAGCUCGAGUCCGGAAGAGGCGAGUGGAAUUCCUGGUGUAGCGGUGAAAUGUGCAGAUAUCAGGAGGAACACCAAUGGCGAAGGCAGCUCGCUGGGACGGUACUGACGCUGAGACGCGAAAGCGUGGGGAGCAAACAGG
This 253-nucleotide ribosomal RNA is filed under the name uncultured bacterium. RNAcentral's name for it is "partial 16S ribosomal RNA". It matches the Rfam family "Bacterial small subunit ribosomal RNA", at positions 524 to 776 of the family's 1533-position model. The record is from RNAcentral.